GCCCCUGAACUAACAUUUUGUGGCUCCAAGAAAGGACAAGGUCAUAGGCGUGAUCCAAACGGGAUUCCUUGACCAGCCUGACAGCUUGCUCCCUGUCAUUGAAAAGGGAGCCACAUCAGGAGCUCCAGCACAAGCAAAAGUCUAGAGCCCAGAUUCUGAGGAAGAGUCACACGGAGAAUCCUACAGAGGACCCCUUCCCCCAACCCCAGCCUGUGCUUAAUUAAGUGAGUGGCUUAAGGGACUUGCCUCCUCUUGAAGAUUAAGAGAAUUCCCUCAGUUUCAUCUCUUGGAAAUCUCACGUUCGUGCAAGGUUCUCAGCAAAUGCCGAAUAUUCCAUGAAACCCGCUUGCAGUCUCCAGCCAGCACUCACGGGCUCGGUCUUCGAACAAAGGAGCUGGAAAGGGUCACAUCUGUGAUUUUCCAAACCCCACAGUCCUCUUCACCUCUCUUAUCUCAGCCCAUGGGUAGUUGUGCCCGGCCUUUAUUCACCCACUGUGAACACGUGAACUUCUUAAGGUGAGACAGAGGGCAUGCUCUGCUGAACCACAUGUGGAGACUGAAUAAAUAGUCAUUGCUUCAUGAGUUUUAGGUUUCUCGUUUUAAAGAGUGACAUUUUAAAAGUAGAGUCUACCCAAAUGGAGACAUGAUGAAUGUAGUUCUUCAACCAAGUCCUCAGAACACGGAGCUUGAGAACUUAGAAGCCAUCAAUUGGCUUUCUCUCUCACAUGCGAAGAACCUCUGGUUCCCAGUGUCCUCGGUCUUGGUUCAGGUCAGCUGGCUGGCAAAGACCAGAGUUCGGCCAGCAGAUCUGUGGAGUGCUCUCCCAGACGUAUCUGUGGGUACAACUUAACAUGUGAUAGUUCAUCCUUGAGUGUAAAGUGCACUUCAUGACUGGUUAUGGUAACUAUUCAUAGUUCCCCACUCCCUCCCGUUUAGUACCUGUUUCUAAGCAGCAAAGUUGUGGUUCAGUGACUUCUGUCUGGAUAAUAUGAAAACAGGGCACCCAGCCAAUUUUGAUGAGCUAACUAUUUCCCUAAAUUAUCAUGCCUAAGCAAAGGGCCCCAAACCUGCUGUUCAACACUUAUCAUCGGAUCCGGGGGAUGGGCUGUGUUCAGGCAUAUCAUCAAAUAGCUGAAAUUUUACAUUUAAGAUUGUCAAGCAGUGAAAAUUGGCAUCCUUAGAAAUGACUGACAGUUCCACUGCCUCAUUUCUGCUACACUGAGUUAGGUAAAGGAAAAAAAAUCACCUUCACUCUUUUUACAGAUUUCUUGCUGAAGACCCAUGUGACAGGACUAUAAAUUUUCACCAGAAAUUGAUGGGAGAACGGACACUUCAAAGUGUCUGAAAGACUUUGCAAAAGGUCCCAAUUAACAGAAUGCAGCUAACACCUCAGAAAAUAAAAUAGAAUAAAUGUUGCAGUGGGAAUGAAUCUUGCUCAGAGUGCUGUGUUGUUGGCUGAUUGCCUGGUGAGAGUAGUGGCCAGGACUUGCCAGCUGGCUGAUCCACACGCCUAUAAAGGAUGCGGUCAGCUUACACCUUGGCAAACUAUGAUUUUGAUGGAAAUCUUAGAGAUCGGCAGGCGUUCUCCCUAGUAAAGUACCUUAGAUCAGGUCAUUGCUUUUGUUUGAGUGAAGAAAAUAUCCUGAUGGCCAGGAUUAGUAGGACCAAGUCGGCACUCUGCUCCAAGGGAGAAUCCAUUACUGGAUCAGAAUAGAUAUAUACCCUGAAGGAGACACAGGGUGUAAUUGAAGGUGGCACAUUCAUCUACAAAAUCCCCAAGUUAAACCAGUCAUGCCACUGAAGCAAACCAGCUGGCUCACCAGCAACCACACAUCUUCCCCCAAGUUCCUCUCAACAACCAGUUUGUCAGACUCUCAACUCCAAAGCUACCACUAUCCUAUCCUCUCAUGUUUACUCAUAGUCAACUGUGAGGAGUUGUGUUGCUUGUUUGUUCUGCGUAGAUCUGAAGACAGGGAUCAGGUGUAAACAUUCUAGUAGCCCCCAUGACGGCUAGCUUAACACUUGCCAUAUGGAGGCACUCAAUGAAUGAUAGACGGCCAAAGGAGCUUCCAUUGCCCAGAGUCCAUACCCAACAUUUAAAACUGUUUUCAAAACUUGACAAAACCUCUAUCAGUCCCCCAAAUGGAAUUAGUUUUUGAAAUGUAUUAAAAACUGAUUUUAACAUUUAUUUUUUAAAAACUAGCAUACAAAGUAGCCAGAAAAAAAUCCUGGGAACAAGUUUAAAAGCCAAAUACGGACCGGGAAAAGCAUUUGUAAGA
Neomonachus schauinslandi (Hawaiian monk seal) is the source of this 2279-nucleotide long non-coding RNA. RefSeq lists it as uncharacterized. The record is from RefSeq and is a predicted model, not a curated record. NCBI's taxonomy places the organism in Eukaryota, Metazoa, Chordata, Mammalia, Carnivora, Phocidae. The transcript is spliced from 4 exons.